RNAcentral lists this ribosomal RNA (503 nucleotides) under Bacillaceae bacterium CL3.148. RNAcentral describes it as "bacterial SSU rRNA". It matches the Rfam family "Bacterial small subunit ribosomal RNA", at positions 17 to 503 of the family's 1533-position model. The record is from RNAcentral. Lineage: Bacteria; Bacillati; Bacillota; Bacilli; Caryophanales; Bacillaceae.
CCCUGGCUCAGGACGAACGCUGGCGGCGUGCCUAAUACAUGCAAGUCGAGCGAAUCAAUAGGAGCUUGCUCCUGUUGGUUAGCGGCGGACGGGUGAGUAACACGUGGGCAACCUGCCUGUAAGACUGGGAUAACACCGGGAAACCGGUGCUAAUACCGGAUAAUCCUUUUCCUCUCAUGAGGAAAAGCUGAAAGUCGGUUUCGGCUGACACUUACAGAUGGGCCCGCGGCGCAUUAGCUAGUUGGUGAGGUAACGGCUCACCAAGGCGACGAUGCGUAGCCGACCUGAGAGGGUGAUCGGCCACACUGGGACUGAGACACGGCCCAGACUCCUACGGGAGGCAGCAGUAGGGAAUCUUCCACAAUGGACGAAAGUCUGAUGGAGCAACGCCGCGUGAGCGAUGAAGGCCUUCGGGUCGUAAAGCUCUGUUGUUAGGGAAGAACAAGUACCGGAGUAACUGCCGGUACCUUGACGGUACCUAACCAGAAAGCCACGGCUAACUA